GACACUUCCGGUAUUACAUUGGCGGGAUAACACAAACGAGGUCCUUCUCGGAUAACGCGACGUGUUUGAUUCAAAGCCAAGCGGCUCUACGAUUUUCACACCCAAGAUGCAGCUCCACAUCACGCAGCACAGAGUGGGCAGGAGCAGAGCCAGUAGUGAUGAGGGGAUUGUUCCUGUCAGUAUAAAGGAACAGCUUUUGAAUUCACGGCGGUCUGUUGGUCGCUCCAUUUUAAAUGAUGAAGAAUGAGGGGGUGCCAACAUGCCUAUGAGUACGAGACCGACACGAAGACAAAGACACAUGGAAAGUUUAUCCACCGGAAUGGG
This is a long non-coding RNA of Nematolebias whitei (Rio pearlfish), 324 nucleotides long. RefSeq lists it as uncharacterized. Lineage: Eukaryota; Metazoa; Chordata; Actinopteri; Cyprinodontiformes; Rivulidae. The transcript is spliced from 4 exons. The record is from RefSeq and is a predicted model, not a curated record.